This 186-nucleotide ribosomal RNA is filed under the name Lysinibacillus fusiformis. RNAcentral's name for it is "16S rRNA. Bacterial SSU". It matches the Rfam family "Bacterial small subunit ribosomal RNA", at positions 19 to 199 of the family's 1533-position model. The record is from RNAcentral. Lineage: Bacteria; Bacillati; Bacillota; Bacilli; Caryophanales; Bacillaceae.
CUGGCUCAGGACGAACGCUGGCGGCGUGCCUAAUACAUGCAAGUCGAGCGAACAGAGAAGGAGCUUGCUCCUUUGACGUUAGCGGCGGACGGGUGAGUAACACGUGGGCAACCUACCUUAUAGUUUGGGAUAACUCCGGGAAACCGGGGCUAAUACCGAAUAAUCUGUUUCACCUCAUGGUGAAAC